UACGUAGGGGGCAAGCGUUGUCCGGAUUUAUUGGGCGUAAAGAGCUCGUAGGCGGCUCGGUAAGUCGGAUGUGAAACCUCCAGGCUCAACCUGGAGACGCCAUCUGAUACUGCCGUGGCUUGAGUCCGGUAGAGGAGCAGGGAAUUCCUGGUGUAGCGGUGAAAUGCGCAGAUAUCAGGAGGAACACCGAUUGCGAAGGCAGCUCGCUGGGACGUAACUGACGCUGAGACGCGAAAGCGUGGGGAGCAAACAGG
Molecule: ribosomal RNA, 254 nt
Filed under: uncultured bacterium
Lineage: Bacteria
Description: partial 16S ribosomal RNA
Rfam family: Bacterial small subunit ribosomal RNA
Source: RNAcentral